GGAAGCCCAAAAUGUUCUAUUAAAAAGUCAAAACUCUCAAUUCCUCUUCUCACUUCUCAGCCAAAUUGCAAGAUCUUGAGUGACAAUGGAUGCUGUUGGCUCUAUAUUGGGAUCCUUGAAUUUAUUAUGUGCACCCCUUUCAAGAGAAGUCUCUGUUUUGAAAAAUUUUCAGCAACUUGUAGAGGUAAUUCAUAUCAAGAUGGAGGAACUAAAUGGUCGAGAAAAUGAUGUCAAAAUGGAGAUUGAGAGGGGCAUGCUGGUCCCAAACAAGAAGCUGAAAAGUGAGGCAGAUUUGUGGCUUAAACAUGUGGAGAAGAUAAGAAAAGAAUUGAGCAGCAUAGAAAAUUGUAUUAGUGAAAAAGGGAAAUGCAUGAAGGGCUGUUUUCCUAAUUGCUAUUCGCGAUACAAAUUAGGCAAGCGUAUUGCAGAAAAGAUUGAAGAAGUUAAUGAGCUUCAGAGAAAGGGAGCAUUUCCAAAUGGUUUGUUUGUUGACCUUUUGCCUGAAACUAGAAAGAAGAUGCCAACAACAUUGAUGGUUGGUAAAACAACACCCUUGAAGGUUUGUCAAGAAAUUUUGGGAUGCUUGUUGGAUGCUAACAUCAGUAAGAUGGGCAUAUAUGGCAUGGGUGGUGUUGGAAAGACAACUAUUAUGAUGCAUGUGAACAAUUUAAUCAUUGAAGACAAGAGUUUUGACAGUGUCAUUUGGGUGACUGCAUCAAAAAUUUUCAGCCCAGAGAAAUUGCAAACUGAUAUAGCAAAAGCAGUUGAUUUGGACCUCUUGGACGAUAAUAUCGCUAGGAGAUCAACCAUCUUGUUCGACCAUCUGCUGGCCAGGAAAAAGUUUGUACUCAUUCUUGAUGAUUUAUGGUAUAGGUUUUCUUUAGAGGAGGUAGGGAUCCCACAACCAACUAAUGAAAACGGUUGUAAGUUAAUAGUUAUCACUAGACUCUUGGAAGUUUGUCGAGGCAUGGAAACUCACAGGGAAAUCAAAGUCGAUGUCCUCUCUAAAGAAGAGGCAUGGGAUCUUUUCAUUGAUAAAGCAGGAACAGGUGCAAUUCUUUCUCCUGAAGUUGAAGCCGUUGCAAAGCGGAUUCCUGAAGAAUGUGGCUAUUUGCCACUUGCGAUCAUUACUGUGGGACGAGCAAUGAGGAAAAUUGAUAAUGCAAGAGUUUGGAAGAAUGCAUUGGAAGAACUGAAAACUUCAAGAUCAGAAAUUGAAGGCAUGGAAGAAAAUGUCUUUGCACGUUUAAAAUUUAGUUACUACCACUUAAGAAAUGAUAGGGUUCAAGCUUGUUUUCUGUAUUGUGCAUUGUUUCCUGACAAUUACAAGAUUGAUGUUGAGGAAUUAGUGGAGUACUGGAUGGCAGAAGGAUUGAUAGAUGAAGUGGGAGAUAGGGAGAAUGAGAUAAACAAGGCACAUGCAGUGCUUCAGGAACUCAAAGAUGCUUGCAUGCUAGAGAGUAUAGGAACAAAGUGGGUGAAAAUGCAUGAUUUAUUAAGGGAUUUGGCAAUUAAAAUCACUGGGAACAGUCCUCGGUUUAUGGUAAAAGCUGGAAUGAGAUUGAGAACAUUUCCAAGGAUAUGGCUGGAGGAUGUUGAAAGGGUGUCCUUAAUGGAAAAUGACAUCACAGUUCUUCCAGAUUGUCCCAAUAGCAUAAAUCUGUAUACUCUGCUCCUGCAACAGAACCCUCUCUCAAAUAUUCCUGCAACUUUCUUUGUGAAAAUGCAUAACCUUAGAGUUCUUAAUUUUUCUGGCUGUUCUAUCAAGUCAAUGCCAGAUUCACUUCCCAGCUUACAGAACCUCCGUGCACUCCUUUUAUGCUUUUCUGAUCUUAAAAAUCUUCCUUCAUUAGCAAUGCUCAAGGAACUGAGGAUACUGGACCUUUCAUAUAGCUUGAUCGAAGAGUUGCCAUAUGGUAUCGAAGGCUUGGUAAAUCUCAGGCGUCUUGAUCUCUCUUAUACAGAGGAACUACAUGUGUUUCCUGCUGGGGCUGUAUCGAAACUACCCUGUCUAGAAAACCUAUCCAUGUUUAAAAGUCGAUAUAGAUGGUCACCAACUUCACAACGAUUGGAUAACGGAGCAAAUCUUGAAGAAGUCACAAGCUCAUCACACUUGACUAGUCUUGGUCUCUCUUUCGAAGAUCCAUACAGCUUCAAUAGCUAUGUGAGGUCUGGGCACUGGCAAUUCCUGAAGAGCUACCAUAUCGGUAUAGGACAUUUGUCAAGCUUUUUACCUGUUGCUAAAGACACUUAUAGUGUAGAAAUUCAAGGUUGUGACCUUAUUUCCAGUGAGAGUUGUAUCAUGAUCCCAGACAACACUCAGCAGUUGGCACUACAUGGUUGUCAUGAUUUUGAUAUUCUGUCAAAACUGUCAAGUAUAUCAAAACUAGCUGACUUAAAGGAAUGUUAUGUCUCCAGUUGCAUUGGGUUGGAGUGCAUCACAAUGGCUGAUGAGAAUUCUUUUCCAAGCCUCAAAUGGUUGGUCCUGCAUAAGCUGCACAACCUGAAGGCUCUGUGCGAUGGAUACGUGGCAGGCUGCAAUGUCCUGUUCAGUUUGAAAACUCUGCAUAUCUAUAACUGUAAUAGGCUCAGGCGCCUAUUCUCAGUUGGUCUUUUACGGUGUCUCCAAAAUAUUGAAGAAGUUGAGGUAUGGAAUUGUAGUUCGAUAGAGGUGAUAAUUGAUGAGGAGGAAAUAACCUGCGGAGACAAUAGCAAUACCUUACCUAGCGUGUCACUUCCAAGGUUACUUCGAUUGUUCUUAUCAGCAUUGCCUGAAUUGAAAAGCAUUUCCAGAAGAUUAUGUGUCUGUAACUCCCUGGAUUCUAUUGAUGUAUUGGACUGUGGAAAGCUAAAGAGGCUCCCUUUUUCUGUGGAGACCUUGCCUUUGUCCGUCAAGCACAUCAGGGGAAGUAGGAAAUGGUGGGAUGAGUUGGCUUGGGAUGACCCUAAUGCUAAGAGUUCUUUACUGCCUUUCUUUAAAGAAGAUAGGUAAAAAGUACAUGAUAUUGUCCACAAAUUUUUUUUUUUCAGAUUAUAAUUACAAAUUGAUUUUUUUUAAAAAUAAUCCUUUGUAAAAAUGUAAUGUAAACCAUUAGAUGAAAACCUUUCGUGUGAUAAUUACUAUAGCAGAUUGAAACCAAGUUUGAUUUUG
RNAcentral lists this unclassified non-coding RNA (3151 nucleotides) under Hevea brasiliensis (rubber tree). Lineage: Eukaryota; Viridiplantae; Streptophyta; Magnoliopsida; Malpighiales; Euphorbiaceae. The record is from RNAcentral.